Molecule: ribosomal RNA, 53 nt
Filed under: Enterocytozoon bieneusi
Lineage: Eukaryota; Fungi; Microsporidia; Enterocytozoonidae
Description: partial large subunit ribosomal RNA
Source: RNAcentral
CAGUAGGGUGCCAUCAAGAGGUGUAUUUGGAAAUAUCCCUAAUCACGGAUCAC